RNAcentral lists this ribosomal RNA (233 nucleotides) under uncultured bacterium. RNAcentral describes it as "partial 16S ribosomal RNA". It matches the Rfam family "Bacterial small subunit ribosomal RNA", at positions 100 to 334 of the family's 1533-position model. The record is from RNAcentral.
CGGGACGGGUGAGUAAUGUCUGGGAAACUGCCUGAUGGAGGGGGAUAACUACUGGAAACGGUAGCUAAUACCGCAUAACGUCGCAAGACCAAAGUGGGGGACCUUCGGGCCUCAUGCCAUCAGAUGUGCCCAGAUGGGAUUAGCUAGUAGGUGGGGUAACGGCUCACCUAGGCGACGAUCCCUAGCUGGUCUGAGGGGAUGACCAGCCACACUGGAACUGGGACACGGUCCAG